RNAcentral lists this long non-coding RNA (1282 nucleotides) under Fukomys damarensis (Damara mole-rat). Its description in RNAcentral is "lncRNA (ENSFDAG00000026892.1)". The record is from RNAcentral. Lineage: Eukaryota; Metazoa; Chordata; Mammalia; Rodentia; Bathyergidae.
UCCCCCGGGUGGUGGUGACGAGGCCGGGCACGCAGGCGGAGGGGAGUGGCCUCUGCCCCCCACGGGAACUCGAGGAAGGGGCGAGCAGGGGGCCCGGCUCUGCGGAGGGAAGAGGACUUGAGACCAGGGGCCCGGCCUCUGCUCAGGUUUGGCUCACAGCCUGCGACUGGCGCUGCCCGAAGGGACUGCCCUUCGGAUGCUUUGAAAACUUAAGAAGCCAAAGCAAUUUUUUAAAUGUCCCGCUCAAGACUUUAAAAACUGGAGGCGGAGAGUCUGAGGGGUCCAUAACCUGACACUUUGGUGAGAGACGUUCUGGGAGGAGCCCCCUGUGAGACUGUCAGAAAGUCCACACGGAAAAGCCCUCGCUGUGGAUGCUGAAGGUUACUUUAGUUCUACCUUUCUUUCUGCCUAAUCUUCAGGUGGACUCGGGCAGUUUUUGCCCCAGGCACAAAGUAGAUAAAAGUACAAAAACUUCCUGUUUGCUGCCCAGACCUUCUCCAGCUAUUAAGAACUUGUUCCAGUGAUGGAGCCUCAAAGGAAUUUGUGAAUUCCUCUCCCACAAGUGCAUAGGGGCAGAGGUGCUGGGAGAAUGAGGAAUUCACAGAGGACUUGAGCAUGACAGUCAUAAUAGAUGAACCAGUCUUAAGGGAAAAGAGAAAAGACUGAGUGAGCCAACGUACUGUUUUUCCUCCAAAUAGGAAGGUUUUGGUAAAGAAUUACACGCCACUGAAGAGUAAAUUACAUUUUUGUAACUUUCCAAAGACACAGACCUUCUCUAAACUUUUUGAGGGGUGUAUGCUGCCAGGUGCUAGACAUACAAACUUCAUUUGUACAAUCACAGUUGAAAGCCAGAUCUGUACUUGGUGUGUGAACACAGCCCAGGAGAAGACAAGAUUAAUAAAGUUCAGGUUGAGGAGAAAAGGUAUUCUAGUCCGACUGAGCAGAAAGAAUGUCUCUCAUGUCCCAAGAAAAGCAUGGUCUGUGUGUGAACAGGCGUCUCUAUUUGGCUGGAUCAAAGGGCACUUGCCGGAAGAGUUUGUGAGUGAAAAUAGAAGCAGCCGUUCCCCCAACCUUACCCUAUGUGACACUCUAGCAACAGCCAGCCAGUUAGGAUUUGGGAUUCGAUCUCUGCUACAUGUUAAAGGGUUGUGGGUGAUUCUGUCCCAACAGCAAGAGUUUAUGAAGGAGUCCUCAUCUGCAGAGGAGGAGAAAAAGGCAGAGGAAUCCUCAUGUCAAAUGAAGUAAAGGAGUUUUGUAAAAUGUGGGAAAUUUUGUAGAAAAG